This 800-nucleotide long non-coding RNA is filed under the name Catharus ustulatus (Swainson's thrush). RNAcentral describes it as "lncRNA (ENSCUSG00005010545.1)". Lineage: Eukaryota; Metazoa; Chordata; Aves; Passeriformes; Turdidae. The record is from RNAcentral.
AGGGCGAAAAGAAAACACCACACUUUCCAAAGCACUGAGACCCCAGGCAGGCUUCAAGGUAAAUAUGGAGUAAAUAAAUAGUGCAUGAUCUGAACCCAUAUCCACAGCCACAGUUUGUUGCUCAUCCAGUGAAAUAAUAAACACAAGGUGAACUUUUUUUCAGCUUGCAAACUGUGUCACCUCUGGUGCAUUUCUGACGUGACUAUUUUUUUUUUCUUUGUGGCCAUUUUGCAAUUUUCUCUGGGUUUGUUUUGAUUGUAAAUAGGCACACACAUUAGCUAAAGCCAGAUAAUUUUAUCCUGGCCAGCUUUGCCAGUAAAUCACUGAGCUAUGUAAUUGGGUUUGUAUAAAAUUAUGCACUGCAAACUUGGGAAUAAGUAAAACAGAGACAAAAAGUUGAUUUUUGUAAAUAGUACCAUUUUUUAUUUUUUGAUAUUCAAAACUUCUGUUGGACUCCAUUUUUCUAUUCCCUAUCAUAACCAUUCUUUAAAUGUCGAAUGAAAAUCCAGCUACAGGAUAAAUUCAAGCAGAACUGGUAAUAAUUUCUGGUUUGGCUUGUAGGUGGAGUUGAAUGCAGUGGUUAACUACCAGCAAUAUGUUCUGAAGAUGAUGGUGUUCAGACAAAUACCCAAUUUGAUUCUGAUAAAUUGGAUGCAAGACUUUGACCAGCAUGAGAAGAACAGGUAUGGCAAACAAAUUUACAAAUGUGGAUAAAACCACAACUGAAAUCCUCACGUGCGUCGUUGCGUCAACACAACUCAAUCUGACAGCGCGCUCUUGCCAGGUGGAACAAAGAGCAA